Molecule: ribosomal RNA, 468 nt
Filed under: uncultured bacterium
Lineage: Bacteria
Description: partial 16S ribosomal RNA
Rfam family: Bacterial small subunit ribosomal RNA
Source: RNAcentral
GACGAACGCUGGCGGCGUGCUUAACACAUGCAAGUCGAACGGUUAUACUCCAGCUUGCUGGAGUGGAUCAGUGGCGAACGGGUGAGUAACACGUGAGCAACCUGCCCCAGACUCUGGAAUAAGCGCUGGAAACGGCGUCUAAUACUGGAUACGAAACUGGCCCGCAUGGGCAUGGUUUGGAAAGUUUUUCGGUUUGGGAUGGGCUCGCGGCCUAUCAGCUUGUUGGUGAGGUAAUGGCUCACCAAGGCGACGACGGGUAGCCGGCCUGAGAGGGCGACCGGCCACACUGGGACUGAGACACGGCCCAGACUCCUACGGGAGGCAGCAGUGGGGAAUAUUGCACAAUGGGCGAAAGCCUGAUGCAGCGACGCCGCGUGAGGGAUGACGGCCUUCGGGUUGUAAACCUCUUUCAGCAGGGAAGAAGCGAAAGUGACGGUACCUGCAGAAGAAGCACCGGCUAACUACGUG